RNAcentral lists this transfer RNA (71 nucleotides) under Xenopus laevis (African clawed frog). It matches the Rfam family "tRNA". Rfam says of the family: Transfer RNA (tRNA) molecules are approximately 80 nucleotides in length. Their secondary structure includes four short double-helical elements and three loops (D, anti-codon, and T loops). Lineage: Eukaryota; Metazoa; Chordata; Amphibia; Anura; Pipidae. The record is from Rfam by way of RNAcentral.
GUGGUUAUAGCUCAGUGGUAGAGCAUUUGACUACAGUUCAAGAGGGCCCAGUUCAAAUUUGAGGGGCCCCU